CGCGGCCUAUCAGCUUGUUGGUGAGGUAAAGGCUCACCAAGGCAAUUACGGGUAGCUGGUCUGAGAGGACGAUCAGCCACACUGGAACUGAGAUACGGUCCAGACUCCUACGGGAGGCAGCAGGAGGGAAUAUUGCGCAAUGGGCGAAAGCCUGACGCAGCGACGCCGCGUGGGGGAUGAAGGCCUUAGGGUUGUAAACCCCUUUCACGAGGGAAGAAAAUGACGGUACCUCGAGAAGAAGCCCCGGCCAACUACGUGCCAGCAGCCGCGGUAAUACGUAGGGGGCGAGCGUUGUCCGGAUUUAUUGGGCGUAAAGGGCUCGUAGGCGGCUUGGCAAGUCGGCCGUGAAAACCCAGGGCUCAACUCUGGGACGCCGGUCGAUACUGCCAUGGCUAGGGUCCGGUAGAGGGGAAUGGAAUUCCCGGUGUAGCGGUGAAAUGCGCAGAUAUCGGGAGGAACACCAGUAGCGAAGGCGGUUCCCUGGGCCGGCACCGACGCUGAGGAGCGAAAGCGUGGGGAGCAAACAGGAUUAGAUACCCUGGUAGUCCACGCCGUAAACGUUGGGUACUAGGCGUGGCGUCUUAUCAACGGAUGCUGUGCUCGAAGCUAACGCGUUAAGUACCCCGCCUGGGGAGUACGG
This 640-nucleotide ribosomal RNA is filed under the name uncultured bacterium. RNAcentral describes it as "bacterial SSU rRNA". It matches the Rfam family "Bacterial small subunit ribosomal RNA", at positions 232 to 885 of the family's 1533-position model. The record is from RNAcentral.